GUCGAGGAUGGAAAAAAGCAUAAAACGACCCAAACCAAUCCACUUUCCGAACAUGAGAAGAGUGUGCAGGUUUACACAAUGUGAUUGAUAGAUCACAAAGUAUUGAAAGAUUGCAAAUUGGUUGGAACAAUGAAAGAAAUGCUUUGAGAGGAAAUAAUGAUAAGAUACAGCGAUUGGAAGAAGAGGUAGGAUCCCAACACUUUUAUUAUUAUUUAAAGAUUGGUUAUGCAAACUACGAUUUAUUGACUUCCAAUUUUGCCAACAGCUCAAAGCCUUGAUCCAUCCGGAAUCUUUUUUCUUUUUUUUCAAACCUCCGGAUAUCCCAGAAAGUCUCAAGCUUUCCUAGCACGGGGAGAGCGGCCACUUGGGCCUCUUGUUUUUGAUGAAGCAGUUCCUCAUCCUCUCCUCCACCUGGUCGAUCAUGGCCUUGGAAUUCUCCUCGGCCUCGCCGUCAACAUUGUCCCCAACUUGCAUUGGCUCGGCGGUGCCGGUGGAGGAGGAGGAGGAGUUCUCGGCAGUGAAGGCAGGAGCAGCGGGAGGGUGAUGGGAAGGUGGGAGGAGGUGGUGGGUGGAAAAGAGGAAGGAGGAGAGGAGGAGGUGGGACUGGUGGAGGGAGGAGCGGAUGUGGAGGAGUGGGUGGGGUCGGCGGUGGAGGCGAGUUGCUUGGUGAUGAAGG
This 676-nucleotide long non-coding RNA is filed under the name Eucalyptus grandis. RNAcentral describes it as "long non-coding RNA (EGRA_LNC003870)". The record is from RNAcentral. Lineage: Eukaryota; Viridiplantae; Streptophyta; Magnoliopsida; Myrtales; Myrtaceae.